ACUCAGAUCUUUUGUGAUCUGAGUCUUUUAUUGUUAACAACAGUAAACAAGGCUAAGUGAGGAACUUUUAAAAGAGGAUAAAUUGAUAAUAGAGUAAAGAGAAUGAGAGUUUAACGGGGAGAGAAGGGGAUGAGAAGGGCUGAAUUUACCCUUUCUUUCCUUCAUAUAAAAUUCAAUUUAUCAUGCCUAACAUCUUGUUUCCUAGAGUGUUUGGUCUGAUUGAUGGAUUGAUUUAAUUGAUCUAGUGUUAAAAUUUUGAUUUUCUGGCCCAUGCAUUUUCAGAUCCAAAAUGUCCAUAGUUCAUCUGGUAAUAACUUGAAUUUUUAUAAAAUAUUAAUAAAUGCAUCAGUAUUAAUAAGUAACAGAUGUCUAGGAAGAAAAUUUUUUAGAAGAUAAAUUCUGAAGGGUGUGUUUGACAAUGACUAAGGAAAGUUUAGGGAGUACAAUAACAAUGUUAACAAAUCAAUUCUUGUAUAUCUAACAAAAUUGUAUUGUGAAUUG
Molecule: long non-coding RNA, 501 nt
Filed under: Phoenix dactylifera (date palm)
Lineage: Eukaryota; Viridiplantae; Streptophyta; Magnoliopsida; Arecales; Arecaceae
Description: long non-coding RNA (PDAC_LNC023130)
Source: RNAcentral